UAAAGAUUAAGCCAUGCAUGUCUCAGUACUUGCUUUUACAAGGCGAAACCGCGAAUGGCUCAUUAAAUCAGUUAUGGUUCAAUUGAUCGUAAAUUAUACACGGAUAACUGUGGUAAUUCUAGAGCUAAUACGUGCAAAUAGCUCGGUCCCUUGUGGAACGGGCGCAGUUAUUAGAUCAAAACUAAUCCGGCCUUCGGGUCGGUAAAAUUGGUGACUCUGAAUAACCGAAGCGGAGCGCGUGGUCUCGUACCGGCGCCAGAUCUUUCAAGUGUCUGACUUAUCAGCUUGUUGUUAGGUUACGUUCCUAACAAGGCUUCAACGGGUAACGGGGUAUCAGGGUCCGAUACCGGAGAGGGAGCCUGAGAAACGGCUACCACAUCCAAGA
Molecule: ribosomal RNA, 385 nt
Filed under: Macrobiotus hufelandi group sp.
Lineage: Eukaryota; Metazoa; Tardigrada; Eutardigrada; Parachela; Macrobiotidae
Description: SSU rRNA
Rfam family: Eukaryotic small subunit ribosomal RNA
Source: RNAcentral